This 884-nucleotide ribosomal RNA is filed under the name Crepidotus applanatus. Its description in RNAcentral is "partial large subunit ribosomal RNA". It matches the Rfam family "Eukaryotic large subunit ribosomal RNA", at positions 35 to 905 of the family's 3401-position model. The record is from RNAcentral. Lineage: Eukaryota; Fungi; Basidiomycota; Agaricomycetes; Agaricales; Crepidotaceae.
UAAGCAUAUCAAUAAGCGGAGGAAAAGAAACUAACAAGGAUUCCCAUAGUAACUGCGAGUGAAGCGGGAAAAGCUCAAAUUUAAAAUCUGGCAGUCUCUGAUUGUCCGAGUUGUAAUCUAGAGAAGUGUUACCCGCGUUGGACCGUGUAUAAGUCUCCUGGAAUGGAGCGUCAUAGAGGGUGAGAAUCCCGUCUUUAACACGGACUACCAAGGCUUUGUGGUGCGCUCUCAAAGAGUCGAGUUGUUUGGGAAUGCAGCUCAAAAUGGGUGGUAAAUGCCAUCUAAAGCUAAAUACAGGCGAGAGACCGAUAGCGAACAAGUACCGUGAGGGAAAGAUGAAAAGAACUUUGGAAAGAGAGUUAAACAGUACGUGAAAUUGCUGAAAGGGAAACGCUUGAAGUCAGUCGCGUUGGCUGGGAAUCAACCUUGCUUUUGCUUUGGUGUACUUUCCAGUCGACGGGUCAACAUCAAUUUUGAUCGGUGGAUAAGGUCGUGAGGAAUGUGGCAUCUUCGGAUGUGUUAUAGCCUUGUGUCAUAUACAUUGAUUGGGAUUGAGGAACUCAGCACGCCGAAAGGCCAGGUUUCGACCAUGUUCGUGCUUAGGAUGUUGGCAAAAUGGCUUUAAUCGACCCGUCUUGAAACACGGACCAAGGAGUCUAACAUGCCUGCGAGUGUUUGGGUGGAAAACCCGAGCGCACAAUGAAAGUGAAAGUUGAGAUCCCUGUCGUGGGGAGCAUCGACGCCCGGACCAGACCUUUUGUGACGGAUCCGCGGUAGAGCAUGUAUGUUGGGACCCGAAAGAUGGUGAACUAUGCCUGAAUAGGGUGAAGCCAGAGGAAACUCUGGUGGAGGCUCGUAGCGAUUCUGACGUGCAAAUCGAUCGU